UACCUGGUUGAUCCUGCCAGUAGCAUAUGCUUGUCUCAAAGAUUAAGCCAUGCAUGUCUAAGUACAAGCCGCUUGACGGCGAAACCGCGAAUGGCUCAAUAAAUCAGUUAUGGUUCCUUAGAUCCACCCAUCCUACUUGGAUAACUGUGGUAAUUCUAGAGCUAAUACAUGCACUCAAGUCCCGACUUUGGCAACAAAGAAAGGAUGCUUUUAUUAGAUCAAAACCAGUCGGGCUCGAGCCUUAAAACUCGGCCCGUACCGUUUGGUGACUCUGGAUAACUUCCCGCUGAUCGCACGGUCUCGCACCGGCGACGCGUCUUUCAAAUGUCUGCCUUAUCAACUGUCGAUGGUAGGUUACGCGCCUACCAUGGUUGCAACGGGUAACGGGGAAUCGGGGUUCGAUUCCGGAGAGGGAGCCUGAGAAACGGCUACCACAUCCAAGGAAGGCAGCAGGCGCGCAAAUUACCCACUCCCGGCACGGGGAGGUAGUGACGAAAAAUAACGAUACGGGACUCUUCCGAGGCCCCGUGAUUGGAAUGAGUACACUUUAAAUCCUUUAACGAGGACCCAUUGGAGGGCAAGUCUGGUGCCAGCAGCCGCGGUAACUCCAGCUCCAAUAGCGUAUAUUAAAGUUGUUGCGGUUAAAAAGCUCGUAGUCGGAAGUCUGUCUUCGGCCGGGUCGCGGCUCUCUGAAUUAAGGGAGUUCCGUUAUGGCUCUGCUGGCCGGGGUGUCAAAGCCCCGGCUGCUUAGCGGUCGGACAACACCGCCGGAGUGCCGCGGGAUCGCCCGGAUCAGGCGAGGCGGUGGGCGUUAAAACCCGCCGUCGCGUCCCGGGGACGAACCGCGGCCGUAAUCGUCCGGGGUGCCCUUCAUCGGGUGUCUCGGGCGGCCGGCACUGUUUACUUUGAACAAAUUAGAGUGCUCAAAGCAGGUGCAUCCCACGCCUGAAUAUUACAGCAUGGAAUGAUAAAAGAGGACCUCGGUCUUAUUUUGCUGGUCUUUAUUCUUUAGACCCGAGGUAAUGGUCAAUAGAGACGGACGGGGGCAUCCGUACUGCGGCGACAGAGGUGAAAUUCUUGGACCGCCGCAAGACGAACAACAGCGAAGGCAUUUGCCAAGAAUGUUUUCCUUGAUCAAGAACGAAAGUUAGAGGUUCGAAGGCGAUCAGAUACCGCCCUAGUUCUAACCAUAAACGAUGCCAACCAGCAAUCCGCCGGUGUUACUCCCAUGACUCGGCGGGCGGCUUCCGGGAAACCAAAGUUUUUGGGUUCCGGGGGAAGUAUGGUUGCAAAGCUGAAACUUAAAGGAAUUGACGGAAGGGCACCACCAGGAGUGGAGCCUGCGGCUUAAUUUGACUCAACACGGGAAACCUCACCAGGCCCGGACACUGGAAGGAUUGACAGAUUGAGAGCUCUUUCUUGAUUCGGUGGGUGGUGGUGCAUGGCCGUUCUUAGUUGGUGGAGCGAUUUGUCUGGUUAAUUCCGAUAACGAACGAGACUCUAGCCUGCUAAAUAGGUGGCGGGUUUUAUUGAAAAUUGAAACUUGGGGGUUCGGGGCUCCGGGAUCAGGCCGCGCUGUCGGUGCGUGCGUGUCUUGCCUCGUCUCGGCGGGGCUGUUCGGGUGCGGCAACGUGCUCGGGUUGUUUCGUCGGGGCGGGGCGGCGUGCGUGUCGGCGGCGAGGUCCCUGGAUGUCCUCGGGCCCUCGCGUCCGUCACAGCUCUUCUUAGAGGGACAAGCGGCGUCCAGCCGCGUGACAGUGAGCAAUAACAGGUCUGUGAUGCCCUUAGAUGUCCUGGGCCGCACGCGCGCUACACUGAAGGAAUCAGCGUGUUUCACUCUCCCUGUCCGAAAGGACCGGGUAACCGCUGAACCUCCUUCGUGGUUGGGAUUGGGGACUGCAAUGAUCCCCAUGAACCAGGAAUCCCUAGUAGGCGCGGGUCACUAGCCCGCGUCGAUUACGUCCCUGCCCUUUGUACACACCGCCCGUCGCUACUACCGAUUGAAUGAUUUAGUGAGGACUUCGGACGGGCCCGUCGGGGUGUUCCGGCUCGGGGGGCAACUCUCGGGUAUCGGGCUCCUAUUCACGGCGGGACUGAAAGAUGUCCGAACUUGAUCCUUUAGAGGAAGUAAAAGUCGUAACAAGGUUUCCGUAGGUGAACCUGCAGAUGGAUCAUUA
Molecule: ribosomal RNA, 2177 nt
Filed under: Acroperus harpae
Lineage: Eukaryota; Metazoa; Arthropoda; Branchiopoda; Diplostraca; Chydoridae
Description: SSU rRNA
Rfam family: Eukaryotic small subunit ribosomal RNA
Source: RNAcentral